CGCUCCUCUCCCUCAUCCCACGCACUUGUAGAUGGCACCGUCCCUCGCCGAGUUCGUCGUUGACCUAUGCCAUGUCUCCGCCGCCGCACUCAGGGACCACGGCGCCGACCCGCCGGAGCCGGACUACCUUGUCCGCUCCCUCCACACCGACAUCACUGCGCUUCCCUGCCUCCCAUGGUGCAGGUGCCCGGGGGCGUGUGGACAAGGCGCGGGGGGAGGGUCACCCGAGUGGGCGACGUCGGAUGCUUUGUUUGCCUCGACGGUGGACGCAAGGGACUCGUGCACGUCUCCCAGAUGCUCGGUCGACGCCGCGCUGGCGCCACCUUCACGCUCGGGCAGGUGUCCUUCAAGGUCGUCUUGGUGGACGGCGCCAAGCUAGGGCUGUCAAUGGUAGACGUCGAUCAGGAUAUAGGGAAGGGUCUUCAGUCGAUGCGACGUCGGCACCCUGUGGAGGAGGACGCGCUGAGGGCAAAUCCGCCAACUAAUCGCUCCAGACUCACCGGGAGGAGGAUGGCGGCAGAUCGAUGAGCGCACGCAGCUCGCCAGAUGAGGAUGGGACCACCGACGCCGACGGUGCGCCCCAGCCCCCAGCACGGUGAUGCAGGACACCGACACGAAGAGGUUCAGCCACCGGUCUGGCACCUCCCACAGUCCCUUGGCAUACAGCUUCAGCUCUGCCUUGUGCACGCGGUCCAACCGUCAUCACCGCUCUUGAUGCAUAGAAGUUCUCUGGUUAUUUUUUAUUGCAAUAUUUUCACAAUUCAUGGAAGAACGGUUCCAGUUGAGAUACUAUAUACAAAAGUAGACAGAGAGCGACGAUGCAGUGUUCACGAUAUGGCAGAUCCAUCUAACUGAACCCGAAGGAGAUAUCCUAUUGUUACUAACUUGCCAGGAAGAGAUCAAUCAUUCUGGUGAGCGUCUCCAUGAGAGGAUGAAGCCAUUCGGUGGGGAUAUACCAGAGCUAAUAAUUUGUCAUGUGUAUAGUGCUCUUCCUAAUGAAGUUCAGUCAAAGAUAUUCGAACCGGCUCCUGGAACUGCAGACAUGCCAAAUGGAAAUACUCAGGAUUAUCAAGCUGGACAUUCUUCUAUUCAUGGGCCACUGCCUCAUUUCUGCUAGAAUCCUUUGCAUAGUAUGCAAGCACCUCAAAUACAAGUGCCCUAUUAAGAGUUCAUCGGUAACAAUGUGGUAAAUGUGGUGCAUGGUUUAAAUCCUUCUGCCAUAGGUCUUCCUUUACAUCCAAGAAUGUUGGCUCUCCCAUUCAAUGUUGAACACACUUUUGGGCAUCUAAUGCACCCAGCUCUGAUGAACUAAGCUAACAAUGGGGCUUUAAGAAUUCUUCC
This is an RNA transcript of Zea mays, 1341 nucleotides long. RefSeq lists it as uncharacterized. Lineage: Eukaryota; Viridiplantae; Streptophyta; Magnoliopsida; Poales; Poaceae. The record is from RefSeq and is marked validated. The transcript has 3 exons.